AUUGAACGCUGGCGGCAGGCCUAACACAUGCAAGUCGGACGGUUGCACAGAGGAGCUUGCUCCUCGGGUGACGAGUGGCGGACGGGUGAGUAAUGUCUGGGGAUCUGCCCGAUAGAGGGGGAUAACCACUGGAAACGGUGGCUAAUACCGCAUAACGUCGCAAGACCAAAGAGGGGGACCUUCGGGCCUCUCACUAUCGGAUGAACCCAGAUGGGAUUAGCUAGUAGGCGGGGUAACGGCCCACCUAGGCGACGAUCCCUAGCUGGUCUGAGAGGAUGACCAGCCACACUGGAACUGAGACACGGUCCAGACUCCUACGGGAGGCAGCAGUGGGGAAUAUUGCACAAUGGGCGCAAGCCUGAUGCAGCCAUGCCGCGUGUAUGAAGAAGGCCUUCGGGUUGUAAAGUACUUUCAGCGGGGAGGAAGGCGAUGUGGUUAAUAACCGCAUUGAUUGACGUUACCCGCAGAAGAAGCACCGGCUAACUCCGUGCCAGCAGCCGCAGUAA
Molecule: ribosomal RNA, 506 nt
Filed under: uncultured bacterium
Lineage: Bacteria
Description: partial 16S ribosomal RNA
Rfam family: Bacterial small subunit ribosomal RNA
Source: RNAcentral